UUGGACAAAAAUGCUCUUAAAACAAAAAAAUUCAAAAACAGCCCAGAAUAAUUCCGGAGUAUUUUCGUCGUAUAAACAAUGUUUUUAAAAUAAUAAUUAUUUUUAUUAUAAUUUUGUUAGAAAAAAAGUUAAAAACAACUCAUUUUCUUUCCUCUCUGCGUGCAGAUCAGCAGCUGCACUGCUGUUCUUCUUCUCCUCCUCCUUGAUUCUUCUUCACUCCAAAAACUUCAUUUCAUCGUAACUUUUUCAUACGGUGACGAAAUCGCGCAAGGUCAGAGUCUAUAGAUUUGUAUCAGAACCCUCUUCCAUCUUAUAUGACACCCAUACCUCAAAAUCAACUGUGCUCAAAGAUUGGAGCCUAGAACAGUGAUGAUUUUUUGGCGGAGUUUUGCUGAUUCCGCCCAAUCCCGCCGGAAUUUGAUCUCGGGGCAAGAGACAAAGUUGAUCCUCUCCUGACGAUCUUUCUACGAAUACUUGAGUUCGUUGAGUGAAUUGAAGGGAUUGUUGAUUGAAUUGGUAAUUGGAUAAUGAGGGAAUCUAGAAGAUCGGGGCACGUUCUCAGCUCCAAGAUUAUAAGAGUCGGCUAUUAGUGUUUGGACAUGAUGGUCCUUACUUUGAUCGUGAAGUUGCACAGAUUCAUAUGCAUGAAGAUUUUAUAAGUAGUAUUGAAGCUAAAUGAUGAUCGGUUGAACUAGAUGCAGGAAAAUGACGACGUUCUGAUUGCCACAUUUGGUCGUAAUGGUAGAGUACAACCAUGUUAUUUCGAUGCAUUUUCUACAAAUUUCGGGUUUAGACAGAAUAAUUGUUGAGAUAAGGGAAGGCUGUUGCUCAAGAUUGCUCUUAAUUUUUUGUUAAAUUAAUGUUGCAUUUGGUAUUUUAGAAUUUUUUUUGGGCUAUACUGAUUAUGUCGUCGCUUGAAGGAACGACGUUCUCAUUGCAGGAUUUGGUCGUAAAGGUAGAGCACAUUUGGGACCCCAUAAUCCGCGUGUUCAACUUCCAGAAUUCCAGUCCAUAGUUGGGAGACAACGAAUUUUCAAAACAUCAAAGUUCAGGAUUUUUGUUUGGCCAUCAUUGACGAAGUAAAGGUAACUCCGUUCUGGAUUUCAACAUUUGGGGUUUCAUUUAUAUUUAUGGAUCUUCCAAUGCAAAGGGCAUUGUUCUUGAGAAAAUGGAAGUGAAAUUUAGCUAAAUGUGUUUUCCAUUAAGAAUCCUAUCCAAUCCUUUUUAGCUAAUGGCUUUCAAUUUUCAUUCUACAUUAGUAUGGUUCAGUUACCUUCACAAAAAAACACUUUCCCACUCGGACGAUAGUAUAAAAGUCUUAAACCUGAACAUGUACAAAGUGUUUUAGUGUUUGUCUUCCAUUUCAACAAAGUGUUUGGUAGUAAAAAUAUCGUUAUGCAUGCACAAAUAUGAAAGGGAAAAACUCUAUAUGCCGCAUGUUGUGACUCCUAAACCCCUGCCACUCAAACUUGCUUCCAAGUGCAACAAAAACAUGGAUAUCUAAUAUUCACUCGUUGCCAAAUAAAUUGGCCAAACAAAAGGAAAAUAUUUGUAACUCACAAUAUACACAUAAAUGGUAUUGUAUGAAAUAUUCGACAUGAACUUUUAUUAUUAACAUCACUUCACUUUUAUAUGUUACCUAACUGUUGACAAUUCACAAUCCUCAUGUUCUCUUUUCUUUUUUCAAAAAUAAAUUAUCGUGUUUUUUUUUUUCAUG
Molecule: non-coding RNA, 1717 nt
Organism: Malus domestica (apple)
Lineage: Eukaryota; Viridiplantae; Streptophyta; Magnoliopsida; Rosales; Rosaceae
Source: RefSeq, a predicted model, not a curated record